GAAUCUCAUCAAUUCCAACACUCCUUUUUUAUGUGAUUCUUAUUGAAGCCAAUAACUCUCUCACAACAGAACUAGAUUCAGUAGCACCCACACAAUGGUAUCAAUACAAAGUAACUCAUAAGUUGCACUUUCCUCUCUAAAGGCGUCACGCCACUAGUAAGUAAAAAGAUGAAACAGUUGGUGGAUCUUUUUCCAAUAGCUCACGGAGCCCAAAUACAAAAAGCUUCAAGGGAGUAUCAAAUGAAGCAAGUCCAAAAGCAGAAACUGAAAGCAAGUAGGCAAGGAUUACAAGGCAUGUGAAUAGUGCUGAUGAACAGUGCCCAUAAAUAGUGUUGAUGAACAAUGCAUGUGAAACAAUACUGAUGAACAGUACCCAUGAAUGGUAGGCUCUGAUGCCAUGUUAAGUAUUUAAGAAGAAAAAGAAUAAGAAAGAAAAAAAGGGAGGGAGGAAGGGAGGGAAGAGAACCACCAUAGUUAUUAAAGGCUCAAGAUGCACUAAGGCGUCAAGGGGUCCUGGAGUCUAGGCGCAAGGCACAGGCGUACGCCUGAGAGAGGUGAGGCGCAAAAGUAAAAAAAUUAAAAAAAUUCAUAAAA
RNAcentral lists this unclassified non-coding RNA (594 nucleotides) under Hevea brasiliensis (rubber tree). Lineage: Eukaryota; Viridiplantae; Streptophyta; Magnoliopsida; Malpighiales; Euphorbiaceae. The record is from RNAcentral.